Long non-coding RNA from Penaeus monodon (black tiger shrimp), 313 nucleotides. RefSeq lists it as uncharacterized. NCBI's taxonomy places the organism in Eukaryota, Metazoa, Arthropoda, Malacostraca, Decapoda, Penaeidae. The transcript is spliced from 2 exons. The record is from RefSeq and is a predicted model, not a curated record.
GGAAUCUCCCAGUGUGACGUCUCAUUCACACUCAGACAGCUGCCCAGACGAGACAUACCCACCCGAGGGGAUAACAGCCACUAACGUCCUCGGGUUUCCGGUGUGGAGUGGAAAGUGCUGUGCCACGUCCCUAGUGCGUACGCCCGUACGAAAGCGCACUCGUGAGGCCUGUGGUGUGAGGUGUGAGGCAUGAGGCAUGAGGCGAAAGCGAGCUGAAGAGGCCAUAGGUGUGAGGAGAGAUGAUCGAGGAGAUGUAGAAGAAAAGUGAGGAAGCCUGUAGAGAUUUUGCACUUAAUAAAGCAUUUUGCAUGAG